GCUGGCGGCAUGCCUAACACAUGCAAGUCGAACGGUAACGCGGAGAGCUUGCUCUCUGGCGACGAGUGGCGGACGGGUGAGUAAUACUUAGGAAUCUGCCCAGUAGUGGGGGACAACUCGAGGAAACUCGAGCUAAUACCGCAUACGCCCUACGGGGGAAAGCGGGGGAUCUUCGGACCUCGCGCUAUUGGAUGAGCCUAAGUCGGAUUAUGCUUGUAGGUAGGGUAACGGCCUACCUAGGCGACGAUCCGUAGCUGGUCUGAGAGGACGAUCAGCCACACUGGGACUGAGACACGGCCCAGACUCCUACGGGAGGCAGCAGUGGGGAAUAUUGGACAAUGGGCGCAAGCCUGAUCCAGCAAUGCCGCGUGUGUGAAGAAGGCCUGCGGGUUGUAAAGCACUUUCA
This 406-nucleotide ribosomal RNA is filed under the name uncultured Ectothiorhodospiraceae bacterium. RNAcentral's name for it is "bacterial SSU rRNA". It matches the Rfam family "Bacterial small subunit ribosomal RNA", at positions 35 to 438 of the family's 1533-position model. Lineage: Bacteria; Pseudomonadati; Pseudomonadota; Gammaproteobacteria; Chromatiales; Ectothiorhodospiraceae. The record is from RNAcentral.